Molecule: long non-coding RNA, 1431 nt
Organism: Numida meleagris (helmeted guineafowl)
Lineage: Eukaryota; Metazoa; Chordata; Aves; Galliformes; Numididae
Exons: 3
Source: RefSeq, a predicted model, not a curated record
GGCCGGGGGCCGCGGAGGGGAGCGCCGCCCCGGGAGGCCCGAGGGCCGCGCCAGGCGGCGGCAGCGACAGGGCCGGGAUGGGGGGAAAGCGCGGAGCCGGAGCCGCGGGCAAGGGAAUGAGGGGAAGGAGGUGUGCGGGCAGCGCGCUGUUCUGCGUGGCGAGAUGGGGCAGUGGACAAAGGGUCCGAGCCCUCUGGGCCGAUGAACCGCGUCUGGAAACCAGCCUAACUCGCGGGAGAGUUAUAAAGCCACAUUAGUCAGGAGAAAUUGCACAGUCCUGGGAAGUUUCAAACUGCAUCCGCUGAUGCUGUCAGGAAAAUGCUACUGUGCAGGAGCACAGGUGCGACUGCAUUGACUGCUACUCUUCGUCUUCGGCUCGGGUCAUCCUGGAGGGACGAGUGGAAAGAAACGGGGAGGUGGGCGAGAUUCUGUCGGAUGCGUGGGAACAGUACAGGAGAGAAAAAUGGAAUACCCUCUUCCAGGAGACAAAGAUCGCGUUGUCUGUGAUCUCAGAAAGUGAAUUUGAAGACACGAGUUUGAAGAAACUUCAGAAAUAAAUACAACAUAUUGCUGAAAAACCCUAUCUUGGUAUCCUCACUUGCUUUAGAUCAUGGGGGUCCAACCUUUUGGCUUGUCUGGGCCACACUGAGUGAAGAGGAAUUGGCACGGGCUGCAUAUAAAAUAUAUAAUUAAUAUACCCAUAGUAACAAAACUUCUUGUGGUUUGUUUUUUUCAUUCCACUGUCAGUGUGUGGCGGGCAUGAGAGGCGGAGUUAGCCCAGAGCUGUGCCCUCCCCUCCACAGUGUUCAGUUGCUGCCUGCACGGUCCACAAUCAAGCUACACACCAUCGAUUCAUGAAAAAUAUCACCAAAAAAUCACAUAAUAAAGUUGACGAUAUUUUGGGGUCUCAUUACUGGCUGUCCCAGGGCUGUGUGUGGCCUGUGGGCUCUGGGUCGGAAAUGUUUGCUUUAGAUGGCGUUUCCCAUCAGUAACUGGUGCUAUGAUGGUGAUGGAAUGGGCUGAAUGAUGAUGUUUUUUCUCUUCUAGUCUGUAAAUCAUUAAUUACUGUGUAAUUCUACUAGAGGCAACUAGCAGUGAAUAAGUGAACCUGAUUGUCAAGCAGGAGCAAUACUAGCUAUUCUAACAGCUAGUUUCCAAUUUUAUGGUUGAAUGUGAAGUUAAAGAUUGAGAAAUAAACAGAAAUAGAUUCCUUUAGGAUAAUGUGAUUCUGUAUUAAUAGGAAGAUGAAAUUUCAUAUUUUACAUUUCCCAAUCAAACCAUCCACUGAAACAAUGUUGCUGUCCCUUUGACUAACUAAAAAGCUUUCUUUCAAGACUAACUUACAUUUUUUUGUAUUACAACCUACCACUUAUUGCAAGGAUACAUUUCUGUUAUGUCCAGAAUUUCUCAAACUAAAACUUGCUCCUAUAA